GACGAACGCUGGCGGCGUGCUUAACACAUGCAAGUCGAACGGUGAAGCGCCUUCCUUUUUGGUGGGUGUGGAUGAGUGGCGAACGGGUGAGUAACACGUGAGUAACCUGCCCCCUUCUGCUGGAUAACCGCAUGAAAGUGUGGCUAAUACGGGAUAUUCUGGGUCUGUCGCAUGAUGGGUCUGGGAAAGAUAUUGUUUCGGUGGGGGAUGGGCUCGCGGCCUAUCAGCUUGUUGGUGGGGUGAUGGCCUACCAAGGCGGUGACGGGUAGCCGGCCUGAGAGGGUCGGCGACCCCGGUGCGGAGGCGCGACCCCGACGCCUCCUGCGGGAGGCAGCAGGGAAGAUUACUGAACGAGGGGAGGCAGCAUGAUGCAGCGCCGCCGGGUGGGUGAUGGUGGUCGGCGGGUUGUGAACUUCUAUCGGGAGUGAAGAAGGGUGUCAUCGUUUGUGGGUGGGUUGACGGUAGCUGGACAAAAAGCCCCGGCUAACUACGUG
This 494-nucleotide ribosomal RNA is filed under the name uncultured bacterium. RNAcentral describes it as "partial 16S ribosomal RNA". It matches the Rfam family "Bacterial small subunit ribosomal RNA", at positions 28 to 507 of the family's 1533-position model. The record is from RNAcentral.